RNAcentral lists this ribosomal RNA (255 nucleotides) under uncultured bacterium. RNAcentral describes it as "partial 16S ribosomal RNA". It matches the Rfam family "Bacterial small subunit ribosomal RNA", at positions 57 to 305 of the family's 1533-position model. The record is from RNAcentral.
GCAAGUCGAACGAGAACGGGUUAUAGCUUGCUAUAACUGUCAGCUAAGUGGCGCACGGGUGAGUAAUAUAUAGGUAACGUGCCUUCAAGAAGGGGAUAACGUUUGGAAACGAACGCUAAUACCCUAUAUGCCUUUAAGACUUAAGUCUGAAAGGGAAAUAUUUAUAGCUUGAAGAUCGGCCUGUACAGUAUCAGUUAGUUGGUGAGGUAAGGGCUCACCAAGACAAUGACGCUUAACUGGUUUGAGAGGAUGAUC